GAUGAACGCUGGCGGCGUGCUUAACACAUGCAAGUCGAACGAAGCACUUUAACCUGAUUCUUCGGAUGAAGGUUUUUGUGACUGAGUGGCGGACGGGUGAGUAACGCGUGGGUAACCUGCCUCAUACAGGGGGAUAACAGUUAGAAAUGACUGCUAAUACCGCAUAAGACCACGGAGCCGCAUGGCUCGGUGGGGAAAACUCCGGUGGUAUGAGAUGGACCCGCGUCUGAUUAGGUAGUUGGUGGGGUAACGGCCUACCAAGCCAACGAUCAGUAGCCGACCUGAGAGGGUGACCGGCCACAUUGGGACUGAGACACGGCCCAAACUCCUACGGGAGGCAGCAGUGGGGAAUAUUGCACAAUGGGGGAAACCCUGAUGCAGCGACGCCGCGUGAGCGAAGAAGUAUUUCGGUAUGUAAAGCUCUAUCAGCAGGGAAGAAAAUGACGGUACCUGACUAAGAAGCACCGGCUAAAUACGUG
RNAcentral lists this ribosomal RNA (479 nucleotides) under uncultured bacterium. RNAcentral's name for it is "partial 16S ribosomal RNA". It matches the Rfam family "Bacterial small subunit ribosomal RNA", at positions 28 to 507 of the family's 1533-position model. The record is from RNAcentral.